UCAUGCUUUGUCUCUCUCUGUCUCAAAAAUAAAUAAACGUUAAAAAAAAAAUUAAAAAAAAAAAAAAGAACUGCAUCAUUCUCUUUGAUCACCUGCCUUGUGUCUCUUAUUGAGGGACAUUUAGGUUUUUGCCACAGACGGAUAAUGAAAAGUGGUUCAGAGAGCAUUCUGCAUACUUAGAGUGGAUUUACAUAGUGAAGUAUUAGAAAUGGAAAAGCUGGGUCAAAGGGCUAUUUAUUGUUUAUUUUUAAUGUAAAAAAUCGACUUUAGAGUUUUAAUUUAAAUUAUGGUUCGUUAACAUGCAGUGUAACCAUAAGUGUGCAAUACGGUGGUUCAACACUUACAUACACCACAACAGAAAUUAUUCAUAAAGCAUAACAUUUGCUUUUUUAAAAGGUAUAAUUCAGUGUUUUUUUUUUAGUACAGUCACAAGAUUGUGCACCCCUCCCCACUAUCUAAUUCCAAAAUAUUUUCAUUGCUACAAAGAGAAACCCUGUCCCCACUGUAUUUAAUUUUAAUUUUUAAUUUUGAUAGAUUUUGCCAAAUUGCUUCAUCAAAAUUUAAAACAAAAAACAAAAAACAUUUUUGGCCCACUUCUAGAACUGUGCCAGUUUCUAAGUUGCCUUUCCUUCCCCCUCCUCACAUACAACAGUAUCUCAUUGGUCUUAUCUGGGGAGGUUAAGUCCAAAUUCAGGAAAGACAAGGCAUACUCCCACCCCCCCACACCAUUCUGCUGCGUCCUGCAAAGAAACUGGAUCCCGGCAUGUUUCGCACACGGACAAAAGCCCCAAAAGUCCAGCUUGACUUCGUGGCCCUUUACAUUCUUUAGGGAAUGCGUGCAAUCUCUACAAGUGAACGCGGCCACUCUCCUAAUUCUGACAACACCAAUGGCAUUCUAGUGACCUCAAUGUUUUUACAAGGUCCUAAGAACCUAAAUGCUCCUGCCACCGGAAAAUCAAGGAAGGAACAGGCCUUCCCCGUGUUUGUUCUCAAACCCAUGCACCAACCCCAGACCGGGUUGUUUGUCCUUGGCUCACAGUUACCGGUGCCAACAGUGUCAGCGACAGGACCCCAGAUAAGACUUGCUUGGCAUAAGGCCCCCUCCUCCCACCACCUGCCAGCCCCUGCUUAUCUGGGAAACCGACCCUGAGCUGCUACCCAGAGUCCGCUGCGUGGCCUCCAGCCCCACGCAGAGCCACACCAGCUAAACAACACUGGGAGCACAAUGCUUUCUUCCCCCUUUCUUCCUUUUCCUCAUGCGUUUUUAUGAACAUCCACAGGGAUGAUAAUUAAAACCUGCAAGGAAACCAGCUGGCAGCGCAAAAGAAAAUCUUGGUGACUUGGGGACGACGCCACAUGUUUAUGGGUGAGUUUUGUAAGCAACAGGCCUAUAAAAAAAGGAGGCUCUUAUAAAUAAAUGCCACAUUCUUCAAAGCUCUGUAUAAACUACAUUCUUUUUAGGGAGGGAGGGGGAGCUACUGGCAUAUUCAUGUUCCUUCCUCGUCAUUUCAAUUCCAACGAGGGGAAAGGAAUCCUAAUUGUACCAUUUCCUAGGAGCACAGCAGUGAUGUCGCCGAGGCUCUGCCCCGGUGUGUGCACGGGUGUAGGUGCACACACACUCAGAAGAGGGACAACAAGGGAAGAGGAAGAGGCACAGGAGGGUCUUUAUUUAGCAAAGCGGAACAGAACAAAGGCGUGGGAGAGUGGCACCGCGUCACCUCUGAUUGGGUUUUCUGGCUACUAAGCGCAUAGACCUUAACUCGAAAGACAGAACUUCUGCCUUCCUCUCCCGAGUGCUGAGUGUUGUCUGAACGGCAUCAAGAUUUGGGGGAGCCAGUGUAAUCCCCUUUCAUUUUUCAUCUGCCUUGCUGACUGCAAAGAGAAACAGGGCCGCUCGCCUCUCCGCGUGUGACACCGGGCUUGAGGCACGCACAUUCCAGAGUGGCCUUCCCCAGGAGCCAGCUGUGUGCAGGAGGAGAAACGUGCACGCUGCAGGCAUCUGUCACCAAGGCCAUGCCAACUCCCCAGUGGGGCAACUGUACAGACAACCUCAGAAUGAGAUUUUAGAAAUGAUGGGAUUCUCCAAGAAGAAAAGAAGUCCUUCUGGAAGAAAAGGCAGAGCAAGCCUAAAAAAGCA
This is a long non-coding RNA of Herpailurus yagouaroundi (jaguarundi), 2137 nucleotides long. RefSeq lists it as uncharacterized. The record is from RefSeq and is a predicted model, not a curated record. The transcript has 2 exons. NCBI's taxonomy places the organism in Eukaryota, Metazoa, Chordata, Mammalia, Carnivora, Felidae.